GAUGAACGCUGGCGGCGUGCCUAAUACAUGCAAGUCGAACGCACAGCGAAAGGUGCUUGCACCUUUCAAGUGAGUGGCGAACGGGUGAGUAACACGUGGACAACCUGCCUCAAGGCUGGGGAUAACAUUUGGAAACAGAUGCUAAUACCGAAUAAAACUUAGUGUCGCAUGACACAAAGUUAAAAGGCGCUUCGGCGUCACCUAGAGAUGGAUCCGCGGUGCAUUAGUUAGUUGGUGGGGUAAAGGCCUACCAAGACAAUGAUGCAUAGCCGAGUUGAGAGACUGAUCGGCCACAUUGGGACUGAGACACGGCCCAAACUCCUACGGGAGGCUGCAGUAGGGAAUCUUCCACAAUGGGCGAAAGCCUGAUGGAGCAACGCCGCGUGUGUGAUGAAGGCUUUCGGGUCGUAAAGCACUGUUGUAUGGGAAGAACAGCUAGAAUAGGAAAUGAUUUUAGUUUGACGGUACCAUACCAGAAAGGGACGGCUAAAUACGUGCCAGCAGCCGCGGUAAUACGUAUGUCCCGAGCGUUAUCCGGAUUUAUUGGGCGUAAAGCGAGCGCAGACGGUUUAUUAAGUCUGAUGUGAAAGCCCGGAGCUCAACUCCGGAAUGGCAUUGGAAACUGGUUAACUUGAGUGCAGUAGAGGUAAGUGGAA
Molecule: ribosomal RNA, 656 nt
Filed under: uncultured Leuconostoc sp.
Lineage: Bacteria; Bacillati; Bacillota; Bacilli; Lactobacillales; Lactobacillaceae
Description: bacterial SSU rRNA
Rfam family: Bacterial small subunit ribosomal RNA
Source: RNAcentral